RNAcentral lists this ribosomal RNA (432 nucleotides) under uncultured bacterium. RNAcentral describes it as "partial 16S ribosomal RNA". It matches the Rfam family "Bacterial small subunit ribosomal RNA", at positions 29 to 506 of the family's 1533-position model. The record is from RNAcentral.
AACGAACGCUGGCGGCAUGCCUAACACAUGCAAGUCGAACGAGACCUUCGGGUCUAGUGGCGCACGGGUGCGUAACGCGUGGGAACCUGCCCUUAGGUUCGGAAUAACUCCCCGAAAGGGGUGCUAAUACCGGAUAAUGUCUUCGGACCAAAGAUUUAUCGCCUUUGGAUGGGCCCGCGUUGGAUUAGCUAGUUGGUAGGGUAAAAGCCUACCAAGGCGACGAUCCAUGGCUGGUCUGAGAGGAUGAUCAGCCACACUGGGACUGAGACACGGCCCAGACUCCUACGGGAGGCAGCAGUGGGGAAUAUUGGACAAUGGGCGAAAGCCUGAUCCAGCAAUGCCGCGUGAGUGAUGAAGGCCUUAGGGUUGUAAAGCUCUUUUACCCGGGAUGAUAAUGACAGUACCGGGAGAAUAAGCUCCGGCUAACUCCGU